GGUUAAGCGACUAAGCGUACACGGUGGAUGCCCUGGCAGUCAGAGGCGAUGAAGGACGUGCUAAUCUGCGAUAAGCGUCGGUAAGGUGAUAUGAACCGUUAUAACCGGCGAUUUCCGAAUGGGGAAACCCAGUGUGAUUUGUCACACUAUCAUUAACUGAAUCCAUAGGUUAAUGAGGCGAACCGGGGGAACUGAAACAUCUAAGUACCCCGAGGAAAAGAAAUCAACCGAGAUUCCCCCAGUAGCGGCGAGCGAACGGGGAGGAGCCCAGAGCCUGAAUCAGUGUGUGUUAGUGGAAGCGUCUGGAAAGGCGCGCGAUACAGGGUGACAGCCCCGUACACAAAAAUGCACAUAAUGUGAGCUCGAUGAGUAGGGCGGGACACGUGGUAUCCUGUCUGAAUAUGGGGGGACCAUCCUCCAAGGCUAAAUACUCCUGACUGACCGAUAGUGAACCAGUACCGUGAGGGAAAGGCGAAAAGAACCCCGGCGAGGGGAGUGAAAAAGAACCUGAAACCGUGUACGUACAAGCAGUGGGAGCCUCUUUUAUGGGGUGACUGCGUACCUUUUGUAUAAUGGGUCAGCGACUUAUAUUCUGUAGCAAGGUUAACCGAAUAGGGGAGCCGAAGGGAAACCGAGUCUUAACUGGGCGUUAAGUUGCAGGGUAUAGACCCGAAACCCGGUGAUCUAGCCAUGGGCAGGUUGAAGGUUGGGUAACACUAACUGGAGGACCGAACCGACUAAUGUUGAAAAAUUAGCGGAUGACUUGUGGCUGGGGGUGAAAGGCCAAUCAAACCGGGAGAUAGCUGGUUCUCCCCGAAAGCUAUUUAGGUAGCGCCUCGUGAAUUCAUCUCCGGGGGUAGAGCACUGUUUCGGCAAGGGGGUCAUCCCGACUUACCAACCCGAUGCAAACUGCGAAUACCGGAGAAUGUUAUCACGGGAGACACACGGCGGGUGCUAACGUCCGUCGUGAAGAGGGAAACAACCCAGACCGCCAGCUAAGGUCCCAAAGUCAUGGUUAAGUGGGAAACGAUGUGGGAAGGCCCAGACAGCCAGGAUGUUGGCUUAGAAGCAGCCAUCAUUUAAAGAAAGCGUAAUAGCUCACUGGUCGAGUCGGCCUGCGCGGAAGAUGUAACGGGGCUAAACCAUGCACCGAAGCUGCGGCAGCGACACUAUGUGUUGUUGGGUAGGGGAGCGUUCUGUAAGCCUGCGAAGGUGUGCUGUGAGGCAUGCUGGAGGUAUCAGAAGUGCGAAUGCUGACAUAAGUAACGAUAAAGCGGGUGAAAAGCCCGCUCGCCGGAAGACCAAGGGUUCCUGUCCAACGUUAAUCGGGGCAGGGUGAGUCGACCCCUAAGGCGAGGCCGAAAGGCGUAGUCGAUGGGAAACAGGUUAAUAUUCCUGUACUUGGUGUUACUGCGAAGGGGGGACGGAGAAGGCUAUGUUGGCCGGGCGACGGUUGUCCCGGUUUAAGCGUGUAGGCUGGUUUUCCAGGCAAAUCCGGAAAAUCAAGGCUGAGGCGUGAUGACGAGGCACUACGGUGCUGAAGCAACAAAUGCCCUGCUUCCAGGAAAAGCCUCUAAGCAUCAGGUAACAUCAAAUCGUACCCCAAACCGACACAGGUGGUCAGGUAGAGAAUACCAAGGCGCUUGAGAGAACUCGGGUGAAGGAACUAGGCAAAAUGGUGCCGUAACUUCGGGAGAAGGCACGCUGAUAUGUAGGUGAAGUCCCUCGCGGAUGGAGCUGAAAUCAGUCGAAGAUACCAGCUGGCUGCAACUGUUUAUUAAAAACACAGCACUGUGCAAACACGAAAGUGGACGUAUACGGUGUGACGCCUGCCCGGUGCCGGAAGGUUAAUUGAUGGGGUCAGCGCAAGCGAAGCUCUUGAUCGAAGCCCCGGUAAACGGCGGCCGUAACUAUAACGGUCCUAAGGUAGCGAAAUUCCUUGUCGGGUAAGUUCCGACCUGCACGAAUGGCGUAAUGAUGGCCAGGCUGUCUCCACCCGAGACUCAGUGAAAUUGAACUCGCUGUGAAGAUGCAGUGUACCCGCGGCAAGACGGAAAGACCCCGUGAACCUUUACUAUAGCUUGACACUGAACAUUGAGCCUUGAUGUGUAGGAUAGGUGGGAGGCUUUGAAGUGUGGACGCCAGUCUGCAUGGAGCCGACCUUGAAAUACCACCCUUUAAUGUUUGAUGUUCUAACGUGGACCCGUGAUCCGGGUUGCGGACAGUGUCUGGUGGGUAGUUUGACUGGGGCGGUCUCCUCCUAAAGAGUAACGGAGGAGCACGAAGGUUGGCUAAUCCUGGUCGGACAUCAGGAGGUUAGUGCAAUGGCAUAAGCCAGCUUGACUGCGAGCGUGACGGCGCGAGCAGGUGCGAAAGCAGGUCAUAGUGAUCCGGUGGUUCUGAAUGGAAGGGCCAUCGCUCAACGGAUAAAAGGUACUCCGGGGAUAACAGGCUGAUACCGCCCAAGAGUUCAUAUCGACGGCGGUGUUUGGCACCUCGAUGUCGGCUCAUCACAUCCUGGGGCUGAAGUAGGUCCCAAGGGUAUGGCUGUUCGCCAUUUAAAGUGGUACGCGAGCUGGGUUUAGAACGUCGUGAGACAGUUCGGUCCCUAUCUGCCGUGGGCGCUGGAGAACUGAGGGGGGCUGCUCCUAGUACGAGAGGACCGGAGUGGACGCAUCACUGGUGUUCGGGUUGUCAUGCCAAUGGCACUGCCCGGUAGCUAAAUGCGGAAGAGAUAAGUGCUGAAAGCAUCUAAGCACGAAACUUGCCCCGAGAUGAGUUCUCCCUGACCCUUUAAGGGUCCUGAAGGAACGUUGAAGACGACGACGUUGAUAGGCCGGGUGUGUAAGCGCAGCGAUGCGUUGAGCUAACCGGUACUAAUGAACCGUGAGGCUUAACCUU
Molecule: ribosomal RNA, 2901 nt
Filed under: Escherichia coli
Lineage: Bacteria; Pseudomonadati; Pseudomonadota; Gammaproteobacteria; Enterobacterales; Enterobacteriaceae
Description: 23S ribosomal RNA
Rfam family: Bacterial large subunit ribosomal RNA
Source: RNAcentral